AUGUUUCUUCGGGCCGAGCUAGAGGCAAUGCACGCCUUCCUCUUGAAGAUGUCCCAGGUGGAGGAGCCCGACGAGCAAGCCAAGUGCUGGAUGAAGGAGGUGCGCGAGCUGUCCUAUGACAUUCACAACAGCAUCGACGACUUCAUGCUUCGUGUGGAUGAUAAAUCUGCCAAGCCCAAAGGUGUCAAGGGCUUUAUAAACAGGUCCAUGAACCUGCUGACAGAGACCAAGACACGCCAUCGAAUAGGCAAAGAGAUCAGGAGCCUCGAGACCCAAGUCAAGGAGGUGGCUGAGCGGCGUGCAAGGUACAAAAUCAAUGACAACAUCUCCAAGGCAACCAAUGUAACCGUAGACCCUCGAGUCUGCUCUUUAAACAGGGAUUUAUCUGAGCUUGUGGGCUUUGAUGAACCAGCCACGGAGCUACUCAAGCUAUUGAAUGUGGGGGAGGAGCUCAAGCAGCCAUUGAAGGUGGUCUCUAUCGUGGGAGUCGGAGGGUUGGGCAAGACGACCCUCGCUCGUCAUGUUUAUGAUAAAUAUGGAAGUCGUUUCAGGUAUCGGGCUUUUGUGUCAGUCUCCCGAAAUCCUAAUAUGGUGACGCUUCUCAGGGCCAUUCUCAUCCAAGUGGGUUAUAACAAAACCUUGCCAGAGGAAGCACAAUUAAUAUCUGGUUGA
Molecule: ribosomal RNA, 672 nt
Filed under: Triticum aestivum (bread wheat)
Lineage: Eukaryota; Viridiplantae; Streptophyta; Magnoliopsida; Poales; Poaceae
Description: partial small subunit ribosomal RNA
Source: RNAcentral